This 645-nucleotide ribosomal RNA is filed under the name uncultured bacterium. RNAcentral describes it as "bacterial SSU rRNA". It matches the Rfam family "Bacterial small subunit ribosomal RNA", at positions 9 to 696 of the family's 1533-position model. The record is from RNAcentral.
UAGCUUGAUCCUGGCUCAGGAUGAACGCUGGCGGUAUGCUUAACACAUGCAAGUCGAACGGAACCAUACGUGGUUUAGUGGCGGACGGGUGAGUAACGCGUGAGAAUCUGCCCAUAGGUUGGGGACAACCACUGGAAACGGUGGCUAAUACCGAAUAAGCCGAGAGGUGAAAGAUUAAUUGCCUAAGGAAGAGCUCGCGUCUGAUUAGCUAGUUGGUGGGGUAAAGGCCUACCAAGGCACCGAUCAGUAACUGGUCUGAGAGGAUGGCCAGUCACACUGGGACUGAGACACGGCCCAGACUCCUACGGGAGGCAGCAGUGGGGAAUUUUCCGCAAUGGGCGAAAGCCUGACGGAGCAAUACCGCGUGGGGGAGGAAGGCUCUUGGGUCGUAAACCUCUUUUCUCAGGGAAGAACAAAAUGACGGUACCUGAGGAAUCAGCAUCGGCUAACUCCGUGCCAGCAGCCGCGGUAAUACGGAGGAUGCAAGCGUUAUCCGGAAUGAUUGGGCGUAAAGCGUCCGCAGGUGGCAAUACAAGUCUGCUGUCAAAGGUCAAGGCUCAACUUUGGACAGGCAGUGGAAACUGUAUAGCUAGAGUAUGGUGGGGGCAGAGGAGAUUCCCAGUGUAGCGGUGAAAUGCGUAGAGA